Molecule: small RNA, 107 nt
Filed under: Marmota monax (woodchuck)
Lineage: Eukaryota; Metazoa; Chordata; Mammalia; Rodentia; Sciuridae
Source: RNAcentral
GCUGGGUGCUGUGGUGUAUGCCUGUAAUCCCAGUUACUUGGGAGGUUGAGGCAGGAAGACUGCAAGUUCUAGGCCAAUCUGGGCAACUUAGCAAGCCCCUGUCUCAA